GUGGAUUCGCUGAGGGCGCAACGGUCCCGCCUCUCUUUAUCUCUUUUGAUGUCUGGUUGGGCCUUCCGAAUAACAGCCCCCGCCUCCUCGUAGUAGUGUGACGUUGGGAAUGGUUUGUUCUUCUCCGCCUGGAUGUCGGCGGGUUCGCUCUACCCCUCCCGCUCGGCGUCCCUUAAACUUGUUUGGUCAAAGGCCGCGCAGGAGACCUCGUUUCCUAUUGGUCCGUUCGGUUGCUCAACUGUUGCUAUGGGAAUGAAGGCCUUCUGGGGGUUUACCUAAAAGUCACAAGGCUACAUUCCGCACUACCGUAUAGAAAACACCACACUAGGGACCGUUACUGGCAUUUGCUGAGGUUUUGUCAAUGCUGCUUAAUAUUUUGGAUGCCUUUUGCUGAUAGCCAAUGUAAAUUCAUUACACAUACAAAUGCAAAACCAGUGAAUUAAAGUAAUUCCAAAUAGGCCCAAGUAGGCUUUCAAUAAACUCCAAAUUACAGUGGUACCUCGCAAGACGAAAACGCGCAAGACGAAAGAGUUUUUCGUUUUUUGAGUUGCUUCGCAAGACGAAUUUCCCUAUGGGCUUGCUUUGCAAGACGAAAAACGAAAACGUCUUGCAAGUUUGUUUCCUUUUUCUUAAAACCGUUAAUACCCUAUGGGAAACCGUGCUUCGCAAGACGAAAAAUUUGCAAGACGAAAAAACUCGCAGAAUGAAUUAAUUUCGUCUUGCGAGGCACCACUGUAUUUCAAGGAACAUUGAUCUCUGAAUUAGAUUAACGCUGCCAUCUUACUGUUGACAUUCAUACGUCCUGGUAAUGUGAUAACUCCCAUGGAUACACAAAUACAUUUCAUUUUCCCCUAAGGACAAACGGUUUCGUCUCUGUGGCAUGGCAUGUGAUGAAACCUCCAGGAAUACGUCUAGCUAGGCAGACCAAUCUUUAUUUAAAAUUCAACCGAAACAAACUAAUGACCUUUCCCAGACAAGAUGAAAACCCACACGGGACCCAUCUUGAAGUUGUGUGGGGAAAAACAGGGUCAUUUCUGUUGUCUGGUUAAAGGUGGAUGUGCUCCACUUUUUUCAAUGACAUGCACUCACAGUCCUUAACCAUUUAUAUAAUAUUUAUUUUAUAAUGUAUAAUUUACAAAGUGCUUUUUUUAAAUAGGCAAGCAGUUUCACAAUCCAUAUUUACAAUCCGUCUUUAUCAUUCUUCCCCACUCCCUCAGCAGUUGGGCCACCUUUGUUUUUAUAAUGUGUCUGUUUGGUGGAGGGCGUGACCUGAAAUCCCUCAGGCAUUGAAAGUGUGCUUUGUUUGUUUUUAGGGGUGGUCAUAUCCAGAACUGCCUCCAAAUGUGUAAAAGAUCUUGUGCAUAUGUUGUGUUAUAAUAAUUCUAAGGUCUCAAAUAUAUAAUAAAUAUUCAUAAAUGCACAUGUAUCUAAAUACAGCGGUACCUCGGGUUACAUACACUUCAGGUUACAGACGCUUCAGGUUACAGACUCCGCUAAUCCAGAAAUAGUACCUCGGGUUAAGAACUUUGCUUCAGGAUGAGAACAGAAAUUGUGCUCUGGUGGUGCUGCGGCAGCGGCAUUAGCUAAAGUGGUGCUUCAGGUUAAGAACAGUUUCAGGUUAAGAACAGAUUAAGUACUUAACCCGAGGUACCACUGUACUAACCUUACUGUAGUUGUAUUACUAACCUUGCUUUUCACUGGAUCCUGCCUCCAUCCAUUUUCUCUGACCGAUCAUGGACAUAGGGGACUUGGAGUCCCAUAGGGAGUUGAGGAGUGAAAGCCAAACCCCAAUUUUUACAUCAGUUGGUAUGUGUGAAGGGCAAACAUCUGGCUGGUGGAUGGGAGGAACUUCUUUCAGUGCACAAGGGUGGUUAGUGAGAAGAACCAUGACAAUGUGACUGGAGAGGUAGAAUAUAUAUAUAUAUAUAUAUAUAUAUAUAUAUAUAUAUAGUUGAUUUUUAUUCUAUGUAUUUUCCUUCUGCUCUUCUUCCCAGAGUGACUCACAAAACUGGAAGAUCAAAAACAAGCAAAACGACAGCAAUAUAAUAGUUAAGAAGCAGCAGAACAGUAAACUCAGAUACUAAAACGUGAGUCAAGUGCAAAGCGUUUUAUUAAAACUGAAUGAAGUGAGCACCGCACAAGCCUCUGUCAGGAGGCAUUUCACAAAGGGUCACCACUGAUAAGACCCUAACUUGGUUCACCACCCACCUUGCCUCCAAACUGGCCUUAAUGUGGUUGUUUAUUAUAUCCAAUGUAUUUAUUCUAGCUGCAGUUUCUUCUCUAACCCACUCCCUUUGUAAAUAACCCUGGCCACCAUUUUUAAAAGGGGCAGAAAACCUACACCAGACACUACCAGCAUUUUAUUUAUUUAGAAGAAUUUAUAAACCACUUAAAUGUAAUUCCUAAGAGGUGUACAUAAAGCGAUUUGAAACAAUGGUCCGUAUUCAAAAAAUUGGGGAGGGGACACAUGUACAGUAUAUACAACUUGUUGGGAGGCUUAAAAAAAAUCAUUUUAGCAGGUAGCAGAAACAGCACAAUUAACUAAUGUCAAUAAUCUGGGAAUUUCAGAACACAGGAACUAUGAUGCGUGCAAGAGUGCAAGUUCCACACCUUGAAGGAGUUGAGCAAGGUGAUCCCUCAGGUAAAUUGGUCCCAAGCUACUUAAAGCAACACCUUGAACUUGGGCAGGUAGGAAGUCAGGAGUCAGUGCAGAUCAUUCAGCAAAGGUGUAACAUGCUGGCAGCAUCUCACUCCUGUCCUGUCAGCAAUCAUGAUGCACUGACUACACCUUCUGGAGGAACCACAAGAGAAAUCCCACACAGAACAUAUUGCAACAAUCCAAUCUGGAAGUUACCAACGCCCAAACGAACAGAUUUAGGAGGCACACAGGGAGAGGAGGAGAAGGGGAAGUGGCAGUGUGAAGCCACAAAUCACCACACUUGCGGAAACUGCUCUGAAAAGAAUGGCAUGUCACUUGGAGACUCUCUAUGGGGCAAGUGGCUAAUACGUUGAAUAUUAUCAGUAUCGCUGACAAAGCCUAAUCCAGGAGCACUCUCAGACUGGGAUCUUGCUCUUUCAGAAAGUGUGUAACCCCAUGCAGAUCAGGCAACGGGCCAACCAGCCUGGCGAUUGAAUCUGACUUUUAACAUUGGCGACAUGACAGUACAGUGGUACCUCUGGUUAAGAACUUAAUUCGUUCCGGAGGUCCAUUCUUAACCUGAAACUGUUCUUAACCUGAGGUACCUCUUUAGCUAAUGGGGCCUUCCGCUGCCGCCACGCAAUUUCUGUUCUCAUCCUGAAGCAAAGUUCUUAACCCGAGGUACUAUUUCUGGGUUAGCGGAGUCUGUAACCUGAAGAGUCUGUAACCUGAAGCGUCUGUAACCCGAGGUACCACUGUAUCGUCUCCUCUGGGCGUGAGGGCAUCAGGCUUGUUUGGGGCAUGAGACAGGCUGUUUGGCAUUCGACAACGGCGGCAAGAGUCUUAAUAGCACAAGGAUGGAAGAAUGAGGAAAUCCCAACCAAAGAACUGUGGCAAGAAAAACUGAUGAACUAUGCGGAAUUGGCGGAAUUGACACACAAACUACGUGAUAAGGACAACUGUGACUUUAAAGAAGAAUGGGAACCUUUUGCAAAGUACUUAAAGAAACAACAAAAUGAACUGGAUUCCUUGGCAGGUUUUGAAUAAACAUACACAAACUUUU
Non-coding RNA from Podarcis lilfordi (Lilford's wall lizard), 3701 nucleotides. NCBI's taxonomy places the organism in Eukaryota, Metazoa, Chordata, Lepidosauria, Squamata, Lacertidae. The record is from the annotation of a GenBank genome assembly.